UAAAUGUUACAUGUAUAAUACUGGGUACAUUAGUUUCUAGACGGCCGGACAUUUAUAAAUUUCGGACGUUUCAACUGUUGGUCGUUUUUACCGAGUACCGGCACGUCGCGCAAAGGCUUUGUCGCACACGCAUUUCACGUGCUACGUAUACCUGUGCGUAUACAUUAUUACAUAAACGUCGGGCGUUAUAAACCGAGGCCGAGGGAUUUGCCGUUAACCCCGUUAUUUUUACCGUACGCCGCACGUCGUAACGGCAAGAUAAAUUUGUGUACAGUGCAUGGUGACGGGGUGAGAGGCGCGGGCGGGCGCGAGGCCGGGAUGAAAAAAAAAACGGGCAAAGGAUUUCGCUGCGAAACGGGAUUACACAUCACCUCUACACAUGCGUGCGCAAAGGUUUACCGGAGGUAUUAUAAUAGGUACACGAUGUAUUUAAGUGGAGCACCUACGCACGGGAGUCCUGAGUUCACUUAUCGUCCG
Cinara cedri is the source of this 477-nucleotide non-coding RNA. Lineage: Eukaryota; Metazoa; Arthropoda; Insecta; Hemiptera; Aphididae. The record is from the annotation of a GenBank genome assembly.